CUACGGGGUGCUCCAGUGAGGAGUAUUGCACAAUGGGGGGAACCCUGAUGCAGCAACGCCGCGUGGAGGAUGACGCAUUUCGGUGUGUAAACUCCUUUUAUAUGUCAAGAAAAUGACGGUAGCAUAUGAAUAAGCACCGGCUAACUCCGUGCCAGCAGCCGCGGUAAUACGGAGGGUGCAAGCGUUACUCGGAAUCACUGGGCGUAAAGGACGCGUAGGCGGGUUGGAAAGUCAGGUGUGAAAUCCUACAGCUUAACUGUAGAACUGCACUUGAAACUUCUAAUCUAGAGUAUGGGAGGGGGAGAUGGAAUUAGGGGUGUAGGGGCAAAAUCCGUAGAUAUCACUAGGAAUACCUAAAGCGAAGGCGAUCUCCUGGAACAUUACUGACGCUAAGGCGUGAAAGCGUGGGGAGCAAACAGGAUUAGAUACCCUAGUAGUC
This 439-nucleotide ribosomal RNA is filed under the name uncultured bacterium. RNAcentral describes it as "partial 16S ribosomal RNA". It matches the Rfam family "Bacterial small subunit ribosomal RNA", at positions 339 to 795 of the family's 1533-position model. The record is from RNAcentral.